GAUGAACGCUAGCGAUAGGCUUAACACAUGCAAGUCGAGGGGCAGCAUGGUCUUAGCUUGCUAAGACUGAUGGCGACCGGCGCACGGGUGCGUAACGCGUAUGCAACUUGCCUCACAGAGGGGGAUAACCCGUCGAAAGACGGACUAAUACCGCGUACACUUGGGAUAGGGCAUCCUGACCCAAGGAAAUGAAAUUCGCUGUGAGAUAGGCAUGCGUCCCAUUAGCUAGUUGGUGAGGUAACGGCUCACCAAGGCGACGAUGGGUAGGGGAACUGAGAGGUUGAACCCCCACACUGGUACUGAGACACGGACCAGACUCCUACGGGAGGCAGCAGUGAGGAAUAUUGGUCAAUGGGCGAGAGCCUGAACCAGCCAAGUCGCGUGAAGGAUGACUGUCUUAUGGAUUGUAAACUUCUUUUAUACGGGAAUAACAAGAGUCACGUGUGGCUCCCUGCAUGUACCGUAUGAGUAAGCAUCGGCUAACUCCGUG
RNAcentral lists this ribosomal RNA (490 nucleotides) under uncultured bacterium. RNAcentral describes it as "partial 16S ribosomal RNA". It matches the Rfam family "Bacterial small subunit ribosomal RNA", at positions 28 to 507 of the family's 1533-position model. The record is from RNAcentral.